AGGAAAUAGUUUUGGAAUUAUUGAUAACCAUGGUCACAAAAGUGUGAAUGGCUAAAUUCCACUUGAUGAAAUAAUAGUACUGACAAAAUUCCAGAGUGCUAUCAUAUGAUUCUAGCACAGUUCUGGACAUCCCUAAUGCCAGGAUAUGAGUCAAGAGUGAGGAUCAGGACCCAGACUGGUUGAGUUCAAAUUCCAUCUCUCUUACUUACUGGUUGUGUCAUCUUGGAUAUUAUCUUCACAAAAUCUAUUGCAUUCUUUGAAGAAGAAGCCAAACACUGACUUUGUUUUCCUCAAGUCAUUUAUCCUUAUGAGGAUGGACUGUCUCUGGUAACUCUGGCUGCUGAAUCAGGAAGAUGAUGAGCCAGACAGGCCAAACAAUGAGGGAUAUUCAGGUGGUGUGACCGUAAGGCAGCAGUCCAGAAUUUUUGAAUAUGUGAGUAGUUCCUGGAAAUCCUGAUUAUUCCGUGUGGAGAAAUGACCUACAGAUGAAAGAAAAACAGCAAAAUGGGUGUAAGCAGGACCCAGGUUAAAAAAGGAAUUGCAAGCUAAAGAAUGGCAUUGUUAUUCAAGGCCAAAGUCAUACCUUAUGUAAAAGAUUUUUCUAUCUUUUAUAGUCCAUGUGCUCCCUUCCUUUCCCAACUACAUAAACUUGCAAGUAUUAUGUCUUCCUUCAGCUUUUAUUUGCUAAAUAUAAAUUAAACUCCUUCAAGUGUGCUUGCUUAAUCAAGGGGAAAGCAUAUUUAAAAAAAAUUUUUAAAUGUUUAUUUGGUUUGAGAGAGUGAGAGACACAGUACCAGUGGGGGUGGGGGGAGCAGAGA
Long non-coding RNA from Felis catus (domestic cat), 818 nucleotides. RefSeq lists it as uncharacterized. The record is from RefSeq and is a predicted model, not a curated record. Lineage: Eukaryota; Metazoa; Chordata; Mammalia; Carnivora; Felidae. The transcript has 4 exons.